UACGAAGGGGGCUAGCGUUGCUCGGAAUCACUGGGCGUAAAGCGCACGUAGGCGGAUCUUUAAGUCAGGGGUGAAAUCCUGGAGCUCAACUCCAGAACUGCCUUUGAUACUGGGGAUCUCGAGUCUGGGAGAGGUGAGUGGAACUCCGAGUGUAGAGGUGAAAUUCGUAGAUAUUCGGAAGAACACCAGUGGCGAAGGCGGCUCACUGGCCCGGUACUGACGCUGAGGUGCGAAAGCGUGGGGAGCAAACAGG
Molecule: ribosomal RNA, 253 nt
Filed under: uncultured bacterium
Lineage: Bacteria
Description: partial 16S ribosomal RNA
Rfam family: Bacterial small subunit ribosomal RNA
Source: RNAcentral